GACGAACGCUGGCGGCGUGCUUAACACAUGCAAGUCGAGGGCUCUGGGGGAGCAAUCCUCCGGGGACCGGCGAACGGGUGCGUAACACGUGAGCGACCUGCCUGACUGCGGGGGAUAGCCGGCCCAACGGCCGGGUAACACCGCGUACGCUUUCGGAGCUGCAUGGUUCUGAGAGGAAACGAGCCUGGGGGGAACCCUGGGCUCGGCAGACAGAGGGGCUCGCGGCCUAUCAGCNGGUUGGCGGGGUAAUGGCCCACCAAGGCGAUGACGGGUAGCUGGUCUGAGAGGAUGGCCAGCCACAUUGGGACUGAGAGACGGCCCAGACUCCUACGGGAGGCAGCAGUGGGGAAUCUUGCGCAAUGGUCGAAAGACUGACGCAGCGACGCCGCGUGCGGGAGGACGCCUCGGUGUACG
This 414-nucleotide ribosomal RNA is filed under the name uncultured bacterium. Its description in RNAcentral is "bacterial SSU rRNA". It matches the Rfam family "Bacterial small subunit ribosomal RNA", at positions 28 to 429 of the family's 1533-position model. The record is from RNAcentral.